This is a non-coding RNA of Dallia pectoralis (Alaska blackfish), 72 nucleotides long. The record is from the annotation of a GenBank genome assembly. Lineage: Eukaryota; Metazoa; Chordata; Actinopteri; Esociformes; Umbridae.
GACAUGGUAGCUCAGUGGUAGAGUGCAUGCUCUGUUGUGUAUUAUGUCAUGGGUUCAAUCCCCAACUUCUCC